This 429-nucleotide ribosomal RNA is filed under the name Chloroflexota bacterium. RNAcentral describes it as "Chloroflexi bacterium partial 16S ribosomal RNA". It matches the Rfam family "Bacterial small subunit ribosomal RNA", at positions 355 to 776 of the family's 1533-position model. Lineage: Bacteria; Bacillati; Chloroflexota. The record is from RNAcentral.
UGGGGAAUAUUGCACAAUGGGCGCAAGCCUGAUGCAGCCAUGCCGCGUGUGUGAAGAAGGCCUUCGGGUUGUAAAGCACUUUCAACGGGGAGGAAGGCGGUGAGGUUAAUAACCUCAUCGAUUGACGUUACCCGCAGAAGAAGCACCGGCUAACUCCGUGCCAGCAGCCGCGGUAAUACGGAGGGUGCAAGCGUUAAUCGGAAUUACUGGGCGUAAAGCGCACGCAGGCGGUCUGUCAAGUCGGAUGUGAAAUCCCCGGGCUCAACCUGGGAACUGCAUUCGAAACUGGCAGGCUAGAGUCUUGUAGAGGGGGGUAGAAUUCCAGGUGUAGCGGUGAAAUGCGUAGAGAUCUGGAGGAAUACCGGUGGCGAAGGCGGCCCCCUGGACAAAGACUGACGCUCAGGUGCGAAAGCGUGGGGAGCAAACAGG